UAUGAAGUUAUUUCCUUCCAGAUUGUACUACUGGAUCAAUCCGUCUUGUUGGUGGUUCACACGAUUGGGAAGGAAGAGUGGAAGUGUGUGAUAGUGGAUCAUGGGGCACUGUCUGUGAUGAUCUCUGGGGCUCCCCUGAUGCAGCAGUAGUGUGUAGACAACUAGGCUGGGGAACAAGUGGAACUGCUCGAUCAUUUGCCUACUUUGGUCAGGGUACUGGUAGUAUCCUCCUGGAUGAUGUUCAGUGCACAGGAACAGAAGAGUUUUUGACAAACUGCACACACUCGAGUACUCACAACUGUGGACACUAUGAGGAUGCUGGAGUAUCUUGUGAUGUUUGUACUUCUGGUUCUCUUCGUCUUGU
This is a long non-coding RNA of Amphimedon queenslandica, 364 nucleotides long. RefSeq lists it as uncharacterized. NCBI's taxonomy places the organism in Eukaryota, Metazoa, Porifera, Demospongiae, Haplosclerida, Niphatidae. The transcript has 3 exons. The record is from RefSeq and is a predicted model, not a curated record.